Molecule: ribosomal RNA, 545 nt
Filed under: Mycoplasmopsis arginini
Lineage: Bacteria; Bacillati; Mycoplasmatota; Mycoplasmoidales; Metamycoplasmataceae
Description: bacterial SSU rRNA
Rfam family: Bacterial small subunit ribosomal RNA
Source: RNAcentral
GUGCUGUUAUAGGGAAAGAACACCUGGUUGAGGAAAUGCUUCCAGGCUGACGGUACCCUGUCAGAAAGCGAUGGCUAACUAUGUGCCAGCAGCCGCGGUAAUACAUAGGUCGCAAGCGUUAUCCGGAAUUAUUGGGCGUAAAGCGUUCGUAGGCUGUUUAUUAAGUCUGGAGUCAAAUCCCAGGGCUCAACCCUGGCUCGCUUUGGAUACUGGUAAACUAGAGUUAGAUAGAGGUAAGCGGAAUUCCAUGUGAAGCGGUGAAAUGCGUAGAUAUAUGGAAGAACACCAAAGGCGAAGGCAGCUUACUGGGUCUAUACUGACGCUGAGGGACGAAAGCGUGGGGAGCAAACAGGAUUAGAUACCCUGGUAGUCCACGCCGUAAACGAUGAUCAUUAGUCGGUGGAGAGUUCACUGACGCAGCUAACGCAUUAAAUGAUCCGCCUGAGUAGUAUGCUCGCAAGAGUGAAACUUAAAGGAAUUGACGGGGACCCGCACAAGCGGUGGAGCAUGUGGUUUAAUUUGAAGAUACGCGGAGAACCUUACCC